GUGGGUCUUGAGACUCUUGGCUAGCAUCCAAGCCGCGUCCGCGUCCAUAUCUGCAACGAAAGAAAAUCAGCACAGCUUAGAAAUAGAGCCACGAAAACAGGGAGAGUUCUGGAACUAACCUAAGCUGGUCUAGAGGAGGCAGAGAUGCAGGGAUGGGGACGACUCGAAGAAUGCCUAAGGCUGAAAAGGAUGCUGGGGAAGAACGAAACUCGCAGGAAGAAGGAGAGACCGCAGAAACUUCCAGGCAAAGUGAGACCCCUGA
Molecule: long non-coding RNA, 262 nt
Filed under: Elaeis guineensis (African oil palm)
Lineage: Eukaryota; Viridiplantae; Streptophyta; Magnoliopsida; Arecales; Arecaceae
Description: long non-coding RNA (EGUI_LNC018624)
Source: RNAcentral